Molecule: unclassified non-coding RNA, 240 nt
Filed under: soil metagenome
Description: partial contains 5.8S ribosomal RNA, internal transcribed spacer 2, and large subunit ribosomal RNA
Source: RNAcentral
AACGCACGAGACCUGCGGACCUGCGGAAGGAUCAUUAAUGAGAAGCUGCCCCUCGUGGGUGGACCUCCCACCCUCUGUGAACUUACCUUUGUUGCUUUGGCAGGCCCGUCCUCUGGACCGCCGGCUUCGGCUGGCCCGUGCCUGCCAGAGGAUUCCAAACCCUGUCUGUCAGUGUUGUCUGAGUCUAUAUGAAAUCGUUAAAACUUUCAACAACGGAUCUCUAGAUCGGAAGAGCACACG